This 1113-nucleotide small RNA is filed under the name uncultured beta proteobacterium. RNAcentral's name for it is "bacterial SSU rRNA". The stretch from base 1 to 464 matches the Rfam family "Bacterial small subunit ribosomal RNA", at positions 1064 to 1533 of the family's 1533-position model. Lineage: Bacteria; Pseudomonadati; Pseudomonadota; Betaproteobacteria. The record is from RNAcentral.
GUCGUGAGAUGUUGGGUUAAGUCCCGCAACGAGCGCAACCCUUGUCCCUAGUUGCUACGCAAGGGCACUCUAGGGAGACUGCCGGUGACAAACCGGAGGAAGGUGGGGAUGACGUCAAGUCCUCAUGGCCCUUAUGGGUAGGGCUUCACACGUCAUACAAUGGCCGGUACAGAGGGUAGCCAACCCGCGAGGGGGAGCCAAUCCCGAGAAAGCCGGUCGUAGUCCGGAUUGCAGUCUGCAACUCGACUGCAUGAAGUCGGAAUCGCUAGUAAUCGCGGAUCAGCAUGCCGCGGUGAAUACGUUCCCGGGUCUUGUACACACCGCCCGUCACACCAUGGGAGCGGGGUGCACCAGAAGUAGGUAGGCUAACCGCAAGGGGGCCGUUUACCACGGUGCGCUUCGUGACUGGGGUGAAGUCGUAACAAGGUAGCCGUAUCGGAAGGUGCGGCUGGAUCACCUCCUUUCUCGGACAUCGGGUGUUGGUGGAUUGAUGCGAAUUGAUCUGCUGGCGUCUCGUUCUGGGCCAAGUGCCCACGCCUAUCGGUUGUUGGCAAGGAUGAGCUGGCAAGGGCGGGCCUGUAGCUCAGUUGGUUAGAGCACCGUCUUGAUAAGGCGGGGGUCGAUGGUUCGAAUCCAUCCAGACCCACCAUCAUCGACGAGAGGGGCUGUAGCUCAGUUGGGAGAGCGCCUGCUUUGCAAGCAGGAGGCCGUCGGUUCGAUCCCGUCCAGCUCCACCAAGCGUGUGAGGGAGGAAAGGUUGGCCAGCGGCAAGCGGGAUGGGUGGCAUUGAGAAGCCAUAGCCAAGCGAGGACGUUUGGCUCUGGUUUUUACCAGGGAAUCGGUUGUUCUUUAACAAUUGGGAAGAAGUGAAGGGCACAUGAUGAAGGAUGUCAUGUGCCGGGUUGAUUGUUAUGGGCUGGGAGGUGAAGAGCCUUCUGGCCGGCAAACACGCCCGUGACGAGAGGCGGCUUGGUGUCAGCGAAGUGCGCAGCGUUAUGGGGUCAAGUAAAUAAGUGCAUGUGGUGGAUGCCUUGGCGAUCACAGGCGACGAAGGACGUGGCAGCCUGCGAAAAGCUGCGGGGAGCUGGCAAACGAGCAAUGAUCCGCAGAUGU